RNAcentral lists this ribosomal RNA (492 nucleotides) under uncultured bacterium. RNAcentral's name for it is "partial 16S ribosomal RNA". It matches the Rfam family "Bacterial small subunit ribosomal RNA", at positions 29 to 507 of the family's 1533-position model. The record is from RNAcentral.
AGUGAACGCUGGCGGUAGGCCUAACACAUGCAAGUCGAACGGCAGCACAGUAAGAGCUUGCUCUUACAGGUGGCGAGUGGCGGACGGGUGAGGAAUACAUCGGAAUCUACUUUUUCGUGGGGGAUAACGUAGGGAAACUUACGCUAAUACCGCAUACGACCUACGGGUGAAAGCAGGGGAUCUUCGGACCUUGCGCGAUUGAAUGCGCCGAUGUCGGAUUAGCUAGUUGGCGGGGUAAAGGCCCACCAAGGCGACGAUCCGUAGCUGGUCUGAGAGGAUGAUCAGCCACACUGGAACUGAGACACGGUCCAGACUCCUACGGGAGGCAGCAGUGGGGAAUAUUGGACAAUGGGCGCAAGCCUGAUCCAGCCAUACCGCGUGGGUGAAGAAGGCCUUCGGGUUGUAAAGCCCUUUUGUUGGGAAAGAAAAGCAGCAGGUUAAUACCCCGCUGUUCUGACGGUACCCAAAGAAUAAGCACCGGCUAACUUCGUG